GGGGCUUGCAGGUAAGUGGUAGGGCAUCUGCUUUGCAUGCAGAACGUCCCAGGUUCAAUCCCUGGCAUCUCCA
RNAcentral lists this transfer RNA (73 nucleotides) under Sphaerodactylus townsendi. RNAcentral's name for it is "tRNA-Ala". It matches the Rfam family "tRNA". From Rfam's summary of the family: Transfer RNA (tRNA) molecules are approximately 80 nucleotides in length. Their secondary structure includes four short double-helical elements and three loops (D, anti-codon, and T loops). Lineage: Eukaryota; Metazoa; Chordata; Lepidosauria; Squamata; Sphaerodactylidae. The record is from RNAcentral.